Molecule: ribosomal RNA, 580 nt
Filed under: fungal sp. CMU21
Lineage: Eukaryota; Fungi
Description: eukaryotic LSU rRNA
Rfam family: 5.8S ribosomal RNA (bases 163-316)
Source: RNAcentral
CCAGGCGCACCCAGAAACCCUUUGUGAACUUAUACCUUUACUGUUGCCUCGGCGCAUGCUGGCCCCCAUGGGGUCCCUCGGAGACGAGGAGCAGGCACGCCGGCGGCCAAGUUAACUCUUGUUUUUACGCUGAAACUCUGAGAAAAAACACAAAUGAAUCAAAACUUUCAACAACGGAUCUCUUGGUUCUGGCAUCGAUGAAGAACGCAGCGAAAUGCGAUAAGUAAUGUGAAUUGCAUAAUUCAGUGAAUCAUCGAAUCUUUGAACGCACAUUGCGCCCUCUGGUAUUCCGGAGGGAAUGCCUGUUCAAGGGUCAUUUCAACCCUCAAGCAUUGCUUGGAGUUGGGUUACAUGCGAAAAUAAAAGCAUACCACCCCGUCUUCACUUUUGCACCUUGCGACGGCCGUUCCCCCUCACUCAGCCCCCGCGUAUCUUACAGUUGGAUCUGAGGACGGAAACAUCCAGAAGCAAUCGUAAGGUGUCCGACCUUCCUUACAGUUCUCAAUCUCAAGUUAUCCCCUCCGGAUCUCUAUGUUUUCCUUGAACGGUUUCACCUAUUAUUGACCUUCUCUUCGAUUUC